AUGAUUCGAGUGAAUACUCCAUCAGAAUUUGUUCAAAUUAUUGGGAUGACGACGGAUAGAAAUUAUGAGGUUUACUCUGCUAAUAGCCCUGAUCUGAAUGGCCUUGACCUUGGGUUCUUCAACUCGUUGCAAUCUCUAACAGAUUGUCUAAGCCCUAGAACGCUUCAAGAUCUUAUCAAGGGUGUGCUAGAUGAAUUUGAAAACUAUGAGGUUUACAAGCUGAACAGAGUUUUCCUAUCUCCACAAGCUUGCAUGGUUGAAAUCUUGAACCAUGCAGGGGGCAAUGGGUAUAAAAUACCCCAUGCGAACAAGGAAAGGCUAGAGAACCUUGGGAUGCUACCUCCAAGACUUACAUGCCCUCCAGAGGUAUAUGCAAAUGCCCUGCACAAUCUUGGGAUAAUGGAGAGAGUUGCUUGUUGA
This 420-nucleotide ribosomal RNA is filed under the name Triticum aestivum (bread wheat). Its description in RNAcentral is "partial small subunit ribosomal RNA". Lineage: Eukaryota; Viridiplantae; Streptophyta; Magnoliopsida; Poales; Poaceae. The record is from RNAcentral.